This 719-nucleotide ribosomal RNA is filed under the name Massilia sp. Its description in RNAcentral is "bacterial SSU rRNA". It matches the Rfam family "Bacterial small subunit ribosomal RNA", at positions 68 to 784 of the family's 1533-position model. The record is from RNAcentral. Lineage: Bacteria; Pseudomonadati; Pseudomonadota; Betaproteobacteria; Burkholderiales; Oxalobacteraceae.
GGCAGCGCGGGGCAACCUGGCGGCGAGUGGCGAACGGGUGAGUAAUAUAUCGGAACGUACCCAGAAGUGGGGGAUAACGUAGCGAAAGUUACGCUAAUACCGCAUACGAUCUACGGAUGAAAGUGGGGGACCUUCGGGCCUCAUGCUUGUGGAGCGGCCGAUAUCUGAUUAGCUAGUUGGUAGGGUAAAGGCCCACCAAGGCGACGAUCAGUAGCUGGUCUGAGAGGACGACCAGCCACACUGGGACUGAGACACGGCCCAGACUCCUACGGGAGGCAGCAGUGGGGAAUUUUGGACAAUGGGCGCAAGCCUGAUCCAGCAAUGCCGCGUGAGUGAAGAAGGCCUUCGGGUUGUAAAGCUCUUUUGUCAGGGAAGAAACGGCUGAGGCUAAUAUCCUCGGCUAAUGACGGUACCUGAAGAAUAAGCACCGGCUAACUACGUGCCAGCAGCCGCGGUAAUACGUAGGGUGCAAGCGUUAAUCGGAAUUACUGGGCGUAAAGCGUGCGCAGGCGGUUUUGUAAGUCUGUCGUGAAAGCCCCGGGCUCAACCUGGGAAUUGCGAUGGAGACUGCAAGGCUUGAAUCUGGCAGAGGGGGGUAGAAUUCCACGUGUAGCAGUGAAAUGCGUAGAGAUGUGGAGGAACACCGAUGGCGAAGGCAGCCCCCUGGGUCAAGAUUGACGCUCAUGCACGAAAGCGUGGGGAGCAAACAGGAUUAGAUA